GAGCGGCGGACGGGUGAGUGAUGCCUAGAGAAAUUGCCCUGAUGUGGGGGAUAACCAUUGGAAACGAUGGCUAAUACCGCAUAAUGCCUACUGGGCCAAAGAGGGGGACCUUCGGGCCUCUCGCGUCAGAGAUAUGCCUAGGUGGGAUUAUUGUAUGUUGGUGAGGUAAUGGCUCACCAAGGCGACUGAUCCCUAUCUGGUCUGAGAGGAUGAUCACCCACACUGGAACUGACACACGGUCCAGACUCCUACGGGAGGCACCAUUGGGGAAUAUUGCACAAUGGGCGCAAGCCUGAUGCAACCAUGCCGCGUGUGUGAAGAAUGCCUUCGGGUUGUAAAGCACUUUCAUUCGUGAGGAAGGUGGUAGUGUUAAUAGCACUAUCAUUUGACGUUAGCGACAGAAGAAGCACCGGCUAACUCCGUGCCAGCAGCCGCGGUAAUACGGAGGGUGCGAGCGUUAAUCGGAAUUACUGGGCGUAGAGCGCAUGCACGUGGUUUGUUAAGUCAUAUGUGAAAGCCCGGGGCUCAACCUCGGAAUAUCAUUUGAAACUGGCAUACUAGAGUACUGUAUAGGGGGGUAGAAUUUCAGGUGUAGCGGUGAAAUGCGUAGAGAUCUGAAGGAAUACCGGUGGCGAAGGCGGCCCCCUGGACAGAUACUGACACUCAGAUGCGAAAGCGUGGGGAGCAAACAGGAUUAGAUACCCUGGUAGUCCACGCCGUAAACGAUGUCUACUUGGAGGUUGUGGCCUUGAGCCGUGGCUUUCGGAGCUAACGCGUUAAGUAGACCGCCUGGGGAGUACGGUCGCAAGAUUAAAACUCAAAUGAAUUGACGGGGGCCCGCACAAGCGGUGGAGCAUGUGGUUUAAUUCGAUGCAACGCGAAGAACCUUACCUACUCUUGACAUCCAGAGAACUUUCCAGAGAUGGAUUGGUGCCUUCGGGAACUCUGAGACAGGUGCUGCAUGGCUGUCGUCAGCUCGUGUUGUGAAAUGUUGGGUUAAGUCCCGCAACGAGCGCAACCCUUAUCCUUGUUUGCCAGCGAGUAAUGUCGGGAACUCCAGGGAGACUGCCGGUGAUAAACCGGAGGAAGGUGGGGACGACGUCAAGUCAUCAUGGCCCUUACGAGUAGGGCUACACACGUGCUACAAUGGCGCAUACAGAGGGCAGCAAGCUAGCGAUAGUGAGCGAAUCCCAAAAAGUGCGUCGUAGUCCGGAUUGGAGUCUGCAACUCGACUCCAUGAAGUCGGAAUCGCUAGUAAUCGUGGAUCAGAAUGCCACGGUGAAUACGUUCCCGGGCCUUGUACACACCGCCCGUCACACCAUGGGAGUGGG
This 1331-nucleotide ribosomal RNA is filed under the name Vibrio sp. 4H3. Its description in RNAcentral is "bacterial SSU rRNA". It matches the Rfam family "Bacterial small subunit ribosomal RNA", at positions 93 to 1414 of the family's 1533-position model. The record is from RNAcentral. Lineage: Bacteria; Pseudomonadati; Pseudomonadota; Gammaproteobacteria; Vibrionales; Vibrionaceae.